GACAUUGUGGUGUAGUGGUUUGAGCAUUGGAUUACUAUUCUGGAGACCAGGGUUCAAAUCCAUGCUCAGCCA
Molecule: non-coding RNA, 72 nt
Organism: Phrynosoma platyrhinos (Desert horned lizard)
Lineage: Eukaryota; Metazoa; Chordata; Lepidosauria; Squamata; Phrynosomatidae
Source: the annotation of a GenBank genome assembly